RNAcentral lists this ribosomal RNA (440 nucleotides) under uncultured bacterium. RNAcentral's name for it is "partial 16S ribosomal RNA". It matches the Rfam family "Bacterial small subunit ribosomal RNA", at positions 338 to 795 of the family's 1533-position model. The record is from RNAcentral.
CCUACGGGUGGCAGCAGUAGGGAAUAUUGCUCAAUGGGGGAAACCCUGAAGCAGCAACGCCGCGUGGAGGAUGAAGGUCUUCGGAUUGUAAACUCCUUUUGUUAGAGAAGAUAAUGACGGUAUCUAACGAAUAAGCACUGGCUAACUCCGUGCCAGCAGCCGCGGUAAUACGGAGGGUGCAAGCGUUACUCGGAAUCACCGGGCGUAAAGCGCGCGUAGGCGGGAUGGCAAGUCAGAUGUGAAAUCCUAUGGCUUAACCAUAGAACUGCAUUUGAAACUGUUAUUCUGGAGUAUGGGAGAGGUAGGUGGAAUUCGUGGUGUAGGGGUAAAAUCCGUAGAUAUCAAGAGGAAUACUCAUUGCGAAGGCGACCUGCUAGAACAUAACUGACGCUGAUGCGCGAAAGCGUGGGUAGCAAACAGGAUUAGAUACCCCUGUAGUC